AACGCUAGCGGCAGGCUUAACACAUGCAAGUCGAGGGGUAACAGUAAUAGCUUGCUAUUUGCUGACGACCGGCGCACGGGGGCGUAACGCGUAUACAAUCUACCUUUUACAGAGGGAUAGCCCAGAGAAAUUUGGAUUAAUGCUCCAUGGUAUUAUGAUGUGGCAUCACAUUAUAAUUAAAGCUUCGGCGGUAAAAGAUGAGUAUGCGUCCUAUUAGCUGGAUGGUAAGGUAACGGCUUACCAUGGCGACGAUAGGUAGGGGUCCUGAGAGGGGGAUCCCCCACACUGGUACUGAGACACGGACCAGACUCCUACGGGAGGCAGCAGUGAAGAAUAUUGGGCAAUGGAGGCAACUCUGACCCAGCCAUGCCGCGUGCAGGAAGACGGCCCUAUGGGUUGUAAACUGCUUUUGUACGGGAAGAAACCUGAUUACGUGUAAUCAGCUGACGGUACCGUACGAAUAAGGAUCGGCUAACUCCGUGCCAGCAGCCGCGGUAAUACGGAGGAUCCAGGCGUUAUCCGGAUUUAUUAGGUUUAAAGGGUGCGUAGGCGGAAAUAUAAGUCAGUGGUGAAAUCCUGCAGCUCAACUGUAGAACUGCCAUUGAUACUGUUUUUCUUGAGUAUAGUUGAGGUGGGCGGAAUGUGUCAUGUAGCGGUGAAAUGCUUAGAUAUGACACAGAACACCGAUUGCGUAGGCAGCUCACUAAACUAUCACUGACGCUGAGGCACGAAAGCGUGGGGAGCGAACAGGAUUAGAUACCCUGGUAGUCCACGCCGUAAACGAUGAUUACUCGUUGUGUGCGAUAUAUUGUACGCGACUAAGCGAAAGUAUUAAGUAAUCCACCUGGGGAGUACGUUGGCAACAAUGAAACUCAAAGGAAUUGACGGGGGCCCGCACAAGCGGAGGAACAUGUGGUUUAAUUCGAUGAUACGCGAGCAACCUUACCUGGACUUAAAUGUAGAUUGACCGGUAGAGAUAGUCUUUUUCUUCGGAACUAUUUACAAGGUGCUGCAUGGUUGUCGUCAGCUCGUGCCGUGAGGUGUCGGGUUAAGUCCCAUAACGAGCGCAACCCCUAUCGUUAGUUGCUAGCAGGUAAUGCUGAGGACUCUAGCGAGACUGCCACCGUAAGGUGAGAGGAAGGUGGGGAUGACGUCAAAUCCAGCACGGCCCUUAUGUCCAGGGCUACACACGUGUUACAAUGGCAGGUACAAAGGGCAGCUACACAGCGAUGUGAUGCUAAUCUCUAAAGCCUGUCCCAGUUCGGAUUGGAGUCUGCAACCCGACUCCAUGAAGUUGGAUUCGCUAGUAAUCGGAUAUCAGCCAUGAUCCGGUGAAUACGUUCCCGGGCCUUGUACACACGCCCGUCAAACCAUGGAAGCUGGGGGUGCCUGAAGUCUGUGACCGUAAGGAGCGGCCUAA
This 1420-nucleotide ribosomal RNA is filed under the name uncultured prokaryote. RNAcentral describes it as "partial 16S ribosomal RNA". It matches the Rfam family "Bacterial small subunit ribosomal RNA". The record is from RNAcentral.